RNAcentral lists this ribosomal RNA (474 nucleotides) under Lactobacillus iners. RNAcentral describes it as "partial 16S ribosomal RNA". Lineage: Bacteria; Bacillati; Bacillota; Bacilli; Lactobacillales; Lactobacillaceae. The record is from RNAcentral.
CAUGGCGGCCGCGGGAAUUCGAUUAUCGUAUUACCGCGGCUGCUGGCACGUAGUCAGCCGUGACUUUCUAAUUGAUUACCGUCAAACAAAGGUCAGUUACUACCCCUGUCCUUCUUCACCAACAACAGAGCUUUACGAGCCGAAACCCUUCUUCACUCAUGCGGCGUUGCUCCAUCAGACUUGCGUCCAUUGUGGAAGAUUCCCUACUGCUGCCUCCCGUAGGAGUUUGGGCCGUGUCUCAGUCCCAAUGUGGCCGAUCAGUCUCUCAACUCGGCUAUGCAUCAUCGCCUUGGUAGGCCGUUACCCUACCAACUAGCUAAUGCACCGCAGGUCCAUCCAAGAGUGAUAGCAGAACCAUCUUUUAAACAGUUGAUAGGCAUCAUCUGUUAUUAUCCGGUAUUAGCAUCUGUUUCCAAUCACUAGUGAAUUCGCGGCCGCCUGCAGGUCGACCAUAUGGGAGAGCUCCCAACGCGU